Cryptomeria japonica (Japanese cedar) is the source of this 1168-nucleotide long non-coding RNA. RefSeq lists it as uncharacterized. The record is from RefSeq and is a predicted model, not a curated record. The transcript is spliced from 5 exons. Lineage: Eukaryota; Viridiplantae; Streptophyta; Pinopsida; Cupressales; Cupressaceae.
UUGGCAGCUUCCAAAUUUUUAUUCCCAAACAUUAAAAUAAGAAAUACUUGUAAUCUGAUCUGAAUUUAGUGACGAAGUGAUGAAUAAAGAGGGCAAUUUCAUUCAAAUUAACUCCGACGAAAUCCUGGGCAACAUGCUACUUCCCCCAAAUGGCAUGAAAAAAUCGCAGCGACAUGGAAGAUGCCUUCAAUAUGUGAUAUAUAAAUCUAUAAAUCAAUGAAAUUGCACCGUUGGAGAUUACACCUUUUUCAUAAAAAUGCACCGUUACAAAAAAAUCUCUGGAACGAAGGAAAAAAGCAAGUGCAGUUAGGGAGUAAGGAAUUUAAAAUUAGGAGGAAUUAUAAAUAACUGUGAGCAGAAUUGUAUUACGCAUUCCCUUUUGCGGAGAACAGAAUGAAAUUGCACCGUUGGAGAUUACACCUUUUUCAUAAAAAUGCAGCGUUACAAAAAAAUCUCUGGAACGAAGGAGAAAAGCAAGUGCCGUUAGGGAGUAAGGAAUUUAAAAUUAGGAGCAAUUAUAAAUAACCGGGCACCACAAAAGAAGCAGAGAAAAGGAGGCUACAGCACAGGAUGAGAAGAGGCAGAUUAGUCCAAUUUAUCAUACGCUAGCAGAAGCCUUUGAAACAUCACCCUUCAUGCAUAUCAAUGAAAGAGGUUUUGAGAACAGUUUUGAUGAUGGUAGUACUUCAGGAAAACACCACAUGGGUUAGAUGGACAUAAACUCUUUUAGAUCAUUUGCAGUGGAUAGAGAAGUCAACGGGAAAGAAGGCAACCUGGCAAAAAUUAGAUUAGUGAUGUUUUCUUCCCCUUUGUGAAUAUUAGGCUUCUUUGCCAAUGUUGUGUUGCAACUUGCAAAAGAAGAGGCAGAGAAGAGGAGGCAGCAAUACAGGAAAGAGAAGAGGUAGUGAAGAGGAGGCGGCAACACAGUAAUGAGAAAGGCAGAACUAUUCUUCUUACUACUAGAAUUAUAAAAGCUUGCCAUUUGGUUUCAGGCGAACAGCCAUGUCAGAAGAAGCAAGGUGCACUUUUCUGUUCUAUGUAGCAAUAAAACUCACAGAUAAACUCUGUAUUAGAACACGCCAAUUAGUCGUACUUUGGGUUACUCUUUAGAUAUUAUUACUUUUUAGAUAUAGCCAAUUCUAAUGUAAAAUAUAUUAGAAUGUGUGUU